AAAUGUGAAGAAGUGUUGGUUGUUGAUGAAGAAGUGUUGGUCCCUGCCGCUACCGGGAUUUCACGAUAACGAAACCGAGACUAAAGAGAUGCCAAAGAGAGACAAAGUUAGAAGAGUCGACACCGAAAUUUAUUUAGUUAACCUCCAUCGGAAAGGAGAGGGGAAAUAAUCGAUAAAACCAUCGGAAAGGAGACGCGCACGAGAAGCGGUAAAAGAGAAUAAGGAAUCGGUCUCGCAAUCG
Molecule: long non-coding RNA, 241 nt
Filed under: Lathyrus oleraceus (garden pea)
Lineage: Eukaryota; Viridiplantae; Streptophyta; Magnoliopsida; Fabales; Fabaceae
Description: Pisum sativum (pea) long non-coding RNA (PSAT_LNC023913)
Source: RNAcentral